CUAAAACCGAACUGAAUAUAUUUUUUUGUUUUACACUAAAGAUUGUUUUAUGAAGUGAGCCAAUAUUUUAGAAGUAAAUGAAAUAUUUAUACGAAUUCUGUAUUUAAAGAUUGUUGUAUUUAAAAUAUCAGGUGAGCCAAUAUUUUAGAAGUAAAUGAAAUAUUUAUUCGAAUUCUGUAUGGUGGUUGUGAGUUUCAGAGUAUAAUAUUUUUAUCAGUGCAACAAAAAAUGAUUUAUUCAUCUUUAAGGUACAAAAUUAGCAAAUCAGUUUUCAAGUUUAAAAUUUUCUAUAAAUAUUUUUUUCUUCAGUGUCUUCCACAUUAAAAACAUCACAUUUUAUCAUAACGUUAUUAAUUUUAUUGUUUUCAUAUUUUUUCUAAAUAAACUUGUUUUUGUUCUA
This is a long non-coding RNA of Nilaparvata lugens (brown planthopper), 400 nucleotides long. RefSeq lists it as uncharacterized. The transcript has 2 exons. Lineage: Eukaryota; Metazoa; Arthropoda; Insecta; Hemiptera; Delphacidae. The record is from RefSeq and is a predicted model, not a curated record.